RNAcentral lists this non-coding RNA (66 nucleotides) under Partenskyella glossopodia. The record is from RNAcentral. Lineage: Eukaryota; Cercozoa; Chlorarachniophyceae.
UGCUUUCGAUCCCUUCCCACUUCACAGUUGCAAACGUCCACCAGUCCGAGAUCGCGAUAGCGGAGU